This 305-nucleotide ribosomal RNA is filed under the name uncultured bacterium. Its description in RNAcentral is "bacterial SSU rRNA". It matches the Rfam family "Bacterial small subunit ribosomal RNA", at positions 335 to 633 of the family's 1533-position model. The record is from RNAcentral.
UGCCUACGGGGGGCAGCAGUAGGGAAUCUUCGGCAAUGGGCGAAAGCCUGACCGAGCAACGCCGCGUGAAUGAAGAAGGCCUUCGGGUUGUAAAAUUCUGUUAUAAGGGAAGAAAGGUGAUAGGAGGAAAUGACUAUCAAUUGACGGUACCUUAUGAGAAAGCCACGGCUAACUACGUGCCAGCAGCCGCGGUAAUACGUAGGUGGCAAGCGUUAUCCGGAAUUAUUGGGCGUAAAGAGCGCGCAGGUGGUCCUGCAAGUCUGGAGUGAAACGCAUGAGCUCAACUCAUGCAUGGCUUUGGAAAC